Molecule: long non-coding RNA, 1538 nt
Organism: Prinia subflava (tawny-flanked prinia)
Lineage: Eukaryota; Metazoa; Chordata; Aves; Passeriformes; Cisticolidae
Exons: 5
Source: RefSeq, a predicted model, not a curated record
GCAACAGAGAUGCCGAGCAGACACACCACAGUGAUGGUCCCUAUGAUUCUGAUGUCGUUGGAGUCAUCUACCAUGAGGGAAUCACUCUCCUGAAAGGGAAUGGUUUAGUCUUCAUCUCUCCUGGGGCUAAAGAUGAUGAGCUCAUCAAAUCUCCAGAACAAGUGUGGAGAAUAGCCAAGAGGAAGAAAGGAUACAGAGCAGAGGAACUACAGCUACCAAAGGAAAUAUGCCUUUUAAAGUCGCAAGGAAAUGUUUCAUCUUCAGGCAUGAAGCAGCAAAACCAAAUCUUCUGUCAUUGAGGUCAGGAUUCUUCUCCUCCUUUGAUUCGUUACCCAUAUUAACACUGUCAAAAAGAAAGGCUCCUUAACAUCCUGCUGUGAAAUAAAAGGCCACUGGAAGUCCUCCUGAGGCCAGAAGAAACGAUCAGAGUCCUAAAGAAAAUAGGAAUGAGGAAAACAGCUUAAUACUGAGCUAAGAAAAACAGAGGUAUGAGCUGGGGGGCUGCACCUGGCUGCACCUGGGGGAACACCAUGAGUACUAAAUAUUGUGAGGCAGCUGGAAGGAAGAUGUCAAAAUUCUUAUUCUAGCAGAAUCACCAGCCCUACUCUGCCAGUGGUUGUUGUGGAUUGAAGAUCCCAGUUCCAGCUGUUUGGUGGUUUGGGCUGACAGGGUGUCAUUUUUUUUUCAGACCUAGUCUUUACUCUCAGGUUUCCAGAGAGACUUAAGAAUAUCAAGAAAGUAUCUAGGAUAAUCUUCCUGGUGUUCUGGAUUUCAGUCCUUUUCUCACAGAACCCCCUACAGGAUUUUCUUCUAAUGGCUCAGUACUCAGGAAAUGAGUAUCUUUACACGAUCUCAAGCUGGGAGCAUUCAUCCUCUUGGCAUGAGUAAGCCUCAGGUGCCUGAAAACACUUCCUGAAGGACAGUUUGUAACAAAAUAACAGUGGUCAUCUGUUCUCUUCUUGGAUGUCUACAGCCCAGCUGCUGGUUCAUGGAGCUGGUCAUUCUGAAAGUACUUUGAAUAGCUUCAGUCCUGAGCUUGUGCUUGAGUAACAGCAAACCUAACUUGAAAAGGGACAUAUCAAUAGGCAUUCUCUGGGAGAUUUGGAAGCACCUCAUUUGCCCUUAAUUUCUGUUCAGGGAAACAAAACUGUAUUCCAGAAAUGCUAUUACAGAAAUUGAUCAUAGAAGGUGGUAAGAUGAAAAGAUUGACAAUGGAGAAGUCCUAUAAAACAGUCUAGAAAUAGAAAUCAGCAUGAAUAUGGAAUUCUAUGAAAAGUCUGAGCUACCUGAGUUAACAACAUAUGGCCAGAAAUGCUGCAAAAGCAGCAGUGUGACCACACAGCCAACCUGUCAUACUCAUGUGCUCAGUGCAUGCCUAUAUUCUCUAAAUGGCUGGGGAGAACAUUGUCUCUUCAGGGAUAUUCAGGGAGGUGGAGGCAGGACAUGGAUGCUCAGCAAAUUGCUCACAGCCCUGCAAAGAGAGCCCCACACAGUGUUGUGCAGCACUAACUCAGGGUGCAAGCAACACUUUUCCACAU